CCUACGGGAGGCAGCAGUGAGGAAUAUUGGUCAAUGGGCUAGAGCCUAAACCAGCCAAGCCGCGUGAGGGAAGACGGCCCUAUGGGUUGUAAACCUCUUUUGUCAGAGAACAAAGCCCGGGACGUGUCCCGGACUGCGGGUAACCGAAGGAAAAGCAUCGGCCAACUCCGUGCCAGCAGCCGCGGUAAUACGGAGGAUUCGAGCGUUAUCCGGAUUUAUUGGGUUAAAAGGGUGCGUAGGCGGUCCGUUAAGUCAGCGGUAAAAUUGCGGGGCUCAACCCCGGCGCGCCGUUGAAACUGGCAGUCUUGAGUUGGCGAGAAGUACGCGGAAUGCGCGGUGUAGCGGUGAAAUGCAUAGAUAUCGCGCAGAACUCCGAUUGCGAAGGCAGCGUACCGGCGCCAGACUGACGCUGAGGCACGAAAGCGUGGGGAUCGAACAGGAUUAGAUACCCUAGUAGUC
This 459-nucleotide ribosomal RNA is filed under the name uncultured bacterium. RNAcentral describes it as "partial 16S ribosomal RNA". It matches the Rfam family "Bacterial small subunit ribosomal RNA", at positions 338 to 795 of the family's 1533-position model. The record is from RNAcentral.